CCUACGGGAGGCAGCAGUGGGGAAUAUUGCACAAUGGGGGAAACCCUGAUGCAGCAACGCCGCGUGAGUGAGGAAGUAUUUCGGUAUGUAAAGCUCUAUCAGCAGGGAAUAGAAAAGACGGUACCUGACUAAGAAGCCCCGGCUAACUACGUGCCAGCAGCCGCGGUAAUACGUAGGGGGCAAGCGUUAUCCGGAUUUACUGGGUGUAAAGGGAGCGUAGACGGAAAGGCAAGUCAGACGUGAAAGCCCAGGGCUCAACCCUGGGACUGCUUUUGAAACUGUCGAGCUAGAGUGCUGGAGAGGUAAGUGGAAUUCCUAGUGUAGCGGUGAAAUGCGUAGAUAUUAGGAGGAACACCAGUGGCGAAGGCGGCUUACUGGACCGAAACUGACGUUGAGGCUCGAAAGCGUGGGGAGCAAACAGGAUUAGAUACCCGGGUAGUC
This 441-nucleotide ribosomal RNA is filed under the name uncultured bacterium. RNAcentral's name for it is "partial 16S ribosomal RNA". It matches the Rfam family "Bacterial small subunit ribosomal RNA", at positions 338 to 795 of the family's 1533-position model. The record is from RNAcentral.